This 213-nucleotide long non-coding RNA is filed under the name Capsicum annuum. RNAcentral's name for it is "long non-coding RNA (CANN_LNC001935)". Lineage: Eukaryota; Viridiplantae; Streptophyta; Magnoliopsida; Solanales; Solanaceae. The record is from RNAcentral.
AUCAAUACGAUAUGUGAUAUCAUCAUCAAUAUACCUAUGUCCCUAGAUUAUAGAGAAAAGAUACUUGAAGUGAACUCUCUUAAAGUUAUCUUGUAUGUCAAGCCUCACUUCUUACUAAAUUUGCACUCCAAUACUCUAUUUUUGUCCUACUCAACAAGAACCCUUUAUCCUCCAUUAUUUGACUCCAUACCUAAAACUUGGACUUAACUCUAU